AUUGAACGCUGGCGGCAGGCCUAACACAUGCAAGUCGAGCGGUAGAGAGAAGCUUGCUUCUCUUGAGAGCGGCGGACGGGUGAGUAAUGCCUAAGAAUCUGCCUGGUAGUGGGGGAUAACGUUCGGAAACGGACGCUAAUACCGCAUACGUCCUACGGGAGAAAGCAGGGGACCUUCGGGCCUUGCGCUAUCAGAUGAGCCUAGGUCGGAUUAGCUAGUUGGUGGGGUAAUGGCUCACCAAGGCGACGAUCCGUAACUGGUCUGAGAGGAUGAUCAGUCACACUGGAACUGAGACACGGUCCAGACUCCUACGGCAGGCAGCAGUGGGGAAUAUUGGACAAUGGGCGAAAGCCUGAUCCAGCCAUGCCGCGUGUGUGAAGAAGGUCUUCGGAUUGCAAAGCACUUUAAGUUGGGAGGAAGGGCAGUAAAUUAAUACUUUGCUGUUUUGACGUUACCGACAGAAUAAGCACCGGCUAACUCUGUGCCAGCAGCCGCGGUAA
This 500-nucleotide ribosomal RNA is filed under the name uncultured bacterium. RNAcentral's name for it is "partial 16S ribosomal RNA". It matches the Rfam family "Bacterial small subunit ribosomal RNA", at positions 30 to 523 of the family's 1533-position model. The record is from RNAcentral.